UGAGGAAUAUUGGUCAAUGGGCGAGAGCCUGAACCAGCCAAGUAGCGUGAAGGAUGACUGCCCUAUGGGUUGUAAACUUCUUUUAUACGGGAAUAAAGUGAGGCACGUGUGCCUUUUUGUAUGUACCGUAUGAAUAAGGAUCGGCUAACUCCGUGCCAGCAGCCGCGGUAAUACGGAGGAUCCGAGCGUUAUCCGGAUUUAUUGGGUUUAAAGGGAGCGUAGGCGGACGCUUAAGUCAGUUGUGAAAGUUUGCGGCUCAACCGUAAAAUUGCAGUUGAUACUGGGUGUCUUGAGUACAGUAGAGGCAGGCGGAAUUCGUGGUGUAGCGGUGAAAUGCUUAGAUAUCACGAAGAACUCCGAUUGCGAAGGCAGCUUGCUGGACUGUAACUGACGCUGAUGCUCGAAAGUGUGGGUAUCAAACAGGAUUAGAUACCCUGGUAGUCCACACAGUAAACGAUGAAUACUCGCUGUUUGCGAUAUACAGUAAGCGGCCAAGCGAAAGCGUUAAGUAUUCCACCUGGGGAGUACGCCGGCAACGGUGAAACUCAAAGGAAUUGACGGGGGCCCGCACAAGCGGAGGAACAUGUGGUUUAAUUCGAUGAUACGCGAGGAACCUUACCCGGGCUUGAAUUGCAACUGAAUGAUGUGGAGACAUGUCAGCCGCAAGGCAGUUGUGAAGGUGCUGCAUGGUUGUCGUCAGCUCGUGCCGUGAGGUGUCGGCUUAAGUGCCAUAACGAGCGCAACCCUUAUCGAUAGUUACCAUCAGGUUAUGCUGGGGACUCUGUCGAGACUGCCGUCGUAAGAUGUGAGGAAGGUGGGGAUGACGUCAAAUCAGCACGGCCCUUACGUCCGGGGCUACACACGUGUUACAAUGGGGGGUACAGAAGGCAGCUACACGGCGACGUGAUGCUAAUCCCUAAAGCCUCUCUCAGUUCGGAUUGGAGUCUGCAACCCGACUCCAUGAAGCUGGAUUCGCUAGUAAUCGCGCAUCAGCCACGGCGCGGUGAAUAUGUUCCC
This 1017-nucleotide ribosomal RNA is filed under the name uncultured bacterium. RNAcentral describes it as "bacterial SSU rRNA". It matches the Rfam family "Bacterial small subunit ribosomal RNA", at positions 355 to 1375 of the family's 1533-position model. The record is from RNAcentral.